Molecule: ribosomal RNA, 265 nt
Filed under: Klebsiella pneumoniae
Lineage: Bacteria; Pseudomonadati; Pseudomonadota; Gammaproteobacteria; Enterobacterales; Enterobacteriaceae
Description: partial 23S ribosomal RNA
Rfam family: Bacterial large subunit ribosomal RNA
Source: RNAcentral
GCGUAGGAUGCUAUCUGGUUUUGGUGGAUGCCUUGGGUCUGAAAGUCGAUGAAGGACGCGAUUACCUGCGAUAAGCUUCGUGGAGUUGGAAAUAAACUAUGAUACGGAGAUUUCCGAAUGGGGUAACCUAACUGAGCAAACCUCAGUUGCAUUUUGAUGAAUCCAUAGUCAAAUUAGCGAGACACGGUGCGAAUUGAAACAUCUUCGUAGCAACAGGAAAAGAAAAUAAAUAAUGAUUUCGUCAGUAGUGGCGAGCGAAAGCAGU